UACGAAGGGGGCAAGCGUUGUUCGGAAUUAUUGGGCGUAAAGGGCGCGUAGGCGGCUUAUCAAGUCAGGCGUGAAAUUCCCGGGCUCAACCUGGGGGCUGCGCUUGAUACUGAUUGGCUUGAAUGCGGGAGAGGAUAGUGGAAUUCCCAGUGUAGAGGUGAAAUUCGUAGAUAUUGGGAAGAACACCGGUGGCGAAGGCGGCUAUCUGGCCCGUAAUUGACGCUGAGGCGCGAAAGCGUGGGGAGCAAACAGG
This 253-nucleotide ribosomal RNA is filed under the name uncultured bacterium. Its description in RNAcentral is "partial 16S ribosomal RNA". It matches the Rfam family "Bacterial small subunit ribosomal RNA", at positions 524 to 776 of the family's 1533-position model. The record is from RNAcentral.